UCUAAUCAUUAUCCGAACUUGUCCUGCCCGAAUACGUGGUUGAUCAGAAAAAAAUGGUAUCCGUUUGUGGAAAACAUUUGUUUAUGUCUUGCUAAUAAAUAAAUACUAAAGACAAUAUAGCACAUUACAUUUAUGUUUAACCCGCUUCUCGUAAGAAACAGAAAAAUGCGUACGAACGCCAACUUUUGGUUCGAGAAUUGACCGCUACUGUAUUCAAGGGAAUUAACUCGACAUUGAAUCUGAAACUGAAAGUAGACUGCUAUUGUUUUUCUCUCUGAUCGUUUUCCAACGCUUUUCAGCGAUGUAGGUGCCAAAACUGGAAACGAAAGAUGGUAAAGUCAAGGUACUCUAUAGCCUAGUGGAUGUAAUCGGUGGCUGUCACCCGAUAGGCCGGAGUUCAAAACCAGGAUGCCUCAAAAGAUAUGUGUGCUGUGCAGAAAAAAGCUAAAACUGCAUCAAAGAAGACCUGUCAACAAAAAUAUAGCUAAAUAUUUACGGAAAUUCUAUUUGAUGCAAACAACCAAUUUGGAUUUUAUUUGUGGAGGUUGCAGCAAAAAAGUGUAUCCAGUUUCUAGUGCACAGCCAAAGUCAUCUGUUUCAGACACAUCAAGAAAAUCUACUGAAAAUCAGACAGCAACAGCAACAACAUCUACAGCCUGUAAAAGUCCACCAUCCAUUCAGCUUCCCAUUAAAUCUACAUCCAAAAGCCAUUCCUACUGUUUUAUUUGUAAAAAGCCAGGUCCCAAAAUCAUAGUUGUACCAGCAAAUAUAAGAUAUUCAGUAUUCAUUGAACAUGGAAUUAUUAUCACAGCUGAAAGCAGAUGUUGUACUUCUCAUUUCAAUCACAACUUAAACGAAUUUAAUAAAGAAGAACUAGUGAACAUGAAAACAAAAGAACAAUCAUUUUUGAACAGAACUACUAUUACUGAAUUCAUCAAUAAAACAAGAGAAAUUGCCUUAAAAUCUUCAAACAAGAGAAUGUCAUUUGACAGUAUGCAUACCUAUACAGAUGAAGA
Long non-coding RNA from Ruditapes philippinarum (Manila clam), 1016 nucleotides. RefSeq lists it as uncharacterized. The record is from RefSeq and is a predicted model, not a curated record. The transcript is spliced from 3 exons. NCBI's taxonomy places the organism in Eukaryota, Metazoa, Mollusca, Bivalvia, Venerida, Veneridae.